RNAcentral lists this ribosomal RNA (471 nucleotides) under Streptococcus constellatus. RNAcentral describes it as "bacterial SSU rRNA". It matches the Rfam family "Bacterial small subunit ribosomal RNA", at positions 28 to 473 of the family's 1533-position model. The record is from RNAcentral. Lineage: Bacteria; Bacillati; Bacillota; Bacilli; Lactobacillales; Streptococcaceae.
GACGAACGCUGGCGGCGUGCCUAAUACAUGCAAGUAGAACGCACAGGAUGCACCGUAGUUUACUACACCGUAUUCUGUGAGUUGCGAACGGGUGAGUAACGCGUAGGUAACCUGCCUGGUAGCGGGGGAUAACUAUUGGAAACGAUAGCUAAUACCGCAUAAGAACAUUUACUGCAUGGUAGAUGUUUAAAAGGUGCAAAUGCAUCACUACCAGAUGGACCUGCGUUGUAUUAGCUAGUUGGUGAGGUAACGGCUCACCAAGGCAACGAUACAUAGCCGACCUGAGAGGGUGAUCGGCCACACUGGGACUGAGACACGGCCCAGACUCCUACGGGAGGCAGCAGUAGGGAAUCUUCGGCAAUGGGGGGAACCCUGACCGAGCAACGCCGCGUGAGUGAAGAAGGUUUUCGGAUCGUAAAGCUCUGUUGUUAAGGAAGAACGUGUGUGAGAGUGGAAAGUUCACACAGUGAC